RNAcentral lists this ribosomal RNA (497 nucleotides) under uncultured bacterium. RNAcentral describes it as "partial 16S ribosomal RNA". It matches the Rfam family "Bacterial small subunit ribosomal RNA", at positions 28 to 507 of the family's 1533-position model. The record is from RNAcentral.
GAUGAACGCUGGCGGCGUGCCUAAUACAUGCAAGUCGAGCGACCGGACGAGAAGAUCUUGCUCUUGAGGUUAGCGGCGGACGGGCGAGUAAGACGUAGAUAACCUUCUUAUUAUACGUGGAUAAUUUCGGGAGACAGGAGAUACUACUAGAGAAUACUUUGAACCGCUUGGUGCAAAAGAGAAUGAGGCCUUUCCUGUUUGUUUUAGAUGGUUCCGGGUUGCAUUAGCUAGUUGGUAAGGUAACGGCUUACCAAGGCAACGAUGCAUAGCCGACCUGAGAGGGUGAUCAGCCACACUGGAACUGAGACACGGUCCAGACUCCUACGGGAGGCAGCAGUAGGGAAUCUUCCGCAAUGGGCGAAAGCCUGACGCAGCCACGCCGCGUGAGUGAUGAAGGUCUUCGGAUCGUAAAACUCUGUUAUUAGGGAAGAACAGAUGUGUAAGUAUCUGUGCACAUCUUGACGGUACCUAAUCAGAAAGCCACGGCUAACUUCGUG